GACGAACGCUGGCGGCGUGGAUUAGGCAUGCAAGUCGGACGGUAGGGCUUUAUCGUAAGAUAGAGUUUGAGAGUGGCGAACGGGUGAGUAACACGUGAGCAACCUGCCUCCGGAUCCGGAAUAAUCCAGGGAAACUUGGUCUAAAACCGGAUGAAGACAUUGGUCCGCAUGGUCUGAUGUUAAAAUAUUUAUAGUCCGGAGAGGGGCUCGCGGCCCAUUAGCUUGUUGGCGGGGUAACGGCCCACCAAGGCAACGAUCAGUAGGGGUUCUGAGAGGAAGGUCCCCCACAUUGGAACUGAGACACGGUCCAAACUCCUACGGGAGGCAGCAGUGAGGAAUAUUGGUCAAUGGGCGAAAGCCUGAACCAGCCAAGUAGCGUGCAGGAUGACGGCCCUAUGGGUUGUAAACUGCUUUUAUACAGGGAUAAAGUUAGUCACGUGUGGCUAUUUGCAGGUACUGUAUGAAUAAGGACCGGCUAAUUCCGUGCCAGCAGCCGCGGUAAACUACUCGUA
This 512-nucleotide ribosomal RNA is filed under the name uncultured bacterium. RNAcentral's name for it is "bacterial SSU rRNA". It matches the Rfam family "Bacterial small subunit ribosomal RNA", at positions 28 to 529 of the family's 1533-position model. The record is from RNAcentral.